RNAcentral lists this ribosomal RNA (422 nucleotides) under uncultured prokaryote. Its description in RNAcentral is "bacterial SSU rRNA". It matches the Rfam family "Bacterial small subunit ribosomal RNA", at positions 355 to 774 of the family's 1533-position model. The record is from RNAcentral.
UGAGGAAUAUUGGUCAAUGGGCGAGAGCCUGAACCAGCCAAGUCGCGUGAAGGAAGAAGGUUCUAUGGAUUGUAAACUUCUUUUGCAGGGGAAUAAAGGACGGUACGUGUACUGUUUUGUAUGUACCUUGCGAAUAAGGAUCGGCUAACUCCGUGCCAGCAGCCGCGGUAAUACGGAGGAUCAGAGCGUUAUCCGGAUUUAUUGGGUUUAAAGGGUGCGUAGGUGGUUUGAUAAGUCAGCGGUGAAAGUUUGCAGCUUAACUGUAAAAAUGCCGUUGAAACUGUCGGACUUGAGUGUAAAUGAGGUAGGCGGAAUGUGUUGUGUAGCGGUGAAAUGCUUAGAUAUAACACAGAACACCAAUUGCGAAGGCAGCUUACUGGGAUACAACUGACGCUGAGGCACGAAAGCGUGGGGAUCAAACA